GUGUGGUCCAUUAGCCCUUUCUCCAUCAGAGCUACGGGGAGUUGUUGCAUCCUUUGGUAGCCUUCCCCUCUCGUGCUACAUCAUGUGGGAGAUAGGAUUAUUGUGAUCAAUGUGGAUGCGAAACCACCAUUGAUCGUGAUCUAUAAAGGUUGCUGCCCUCCAAUUUUCAGAGACCACUAUGGAUGAUGCUUUAGCAGGCAUCCAUGGUGAUGUCGAGGAAAGGAGAGCGAGAGGAUAGUAGGGGUCGAGAUGGUUGCUGAGCUUCAGCCCCCCGAUCCCUUAGUUUUUUUUCUUUUUGAUUUUUGGGUUUCAAUCCGAAGGACUUAGUUUCGGAUCUCAAGUUCGGCC
Molecule: long non-coding RNA, 348 nt
Filed under: Elaeis guineensis (African oil palm)
Lineage: Eukaryota; Viridiplantae; Streptophyta; Magnoliopsida; Arecales; Arecaceae
Description: long non-coding RNA (EGUI_LNC013472)
Source: RNAcentral